GAUAAACGCUGGCGGCGUGCCUAAUGCAUGCAAGUCGCACGGGAAGGCCUUCGGGCGUCGACCGUGGCGGACGGGUGAGGAACACGUGGCUAACCUGCCCUGACCUGGGGGGAUACCCGCCGGAAACGGCGACUAAUACCGCAUGGGGCUUGUUUGGGGGGACCUGGACAAGGAAAGGACUUCGGUCCGGGGUUGGGAGGGGGCUGCGGCCGAUUAGCUAGCUGGUGGGGUAACGGCCUACCAGGGCGGUGAUCGGUAGCUGGCUGAGAGGACGGCCAGCCACACGGGGACUGCGACACGGGCCAGGACUCCUACGGGAGGCAGCAGUAAGGAAUAUUGCGCAAUGGGCGAAAGCCUGACGCAGCGACGCCGCGUGGGGGAUGAAGGUCUUCGGAUUGUAAACCCCUUUCGGGAGGGAAGAUGGAACGAGCAAUCGUUACGGACGGUACCUCCAGAAGCAGCCACGGCUAACUUCGUGCCAGCA
RNAcentral lists this ribosomal RNA (484 nucleotides) under uncultured bacterium. RNAcentral's name for it is "bacterial SSU rRNA". It matches the Rfam family "Bacterial small subunit ribosomal RNA", at positions 28 to 513 of the family's 1533-position model. The record is from RNAcentral.